CCUCAAAUCAGGUAGGACUACCCGCUGAACUUAAGCAUAUCAAUAAGCGGAGGAAAAGAAACUAACAAGGAUUCCCCUAGUAACUGCGAGUGAAGCGGGAAAAGCUCAAAUUUGAAAUCUGGCGGUUUCUGCCGUCCGAGUUGUAUUCUGGGGAAGCGUUUUCCGUGCUGGACCGUGUACAAGUGCCUUGGAACAGGCCGUCAUAGAGGGUGAGAAUCCCGUCUUUGACACGGACUGCCAGUGCUCUGUGAUGCGCUCUCGAAGAGUCGAGUUGUUUGGGAAUGCAGCUCAAAAUGGGUGGUAAAUUCCAUCUAAAGCUAAAUAUUGGCGAGAGACCGAUAGCGAACAAGUACCGUGAGGGAAAGAUGAAAAGCACUUUGGAAAGAGAGUAAAACAGUACGUGAAAUUGUUGAAAGGGAAACGCUUGAAGUCAGUCGCGUCUUCUGGAACUCAGCCUUGCUUCUGCUUGGUGCACUUUCCAGUCUGACGGGCCAGCAUCGGUUUUGGUGGGGCAGACAAAGGCGGGGGGAAGGUGGCCGCUCUGGCGGUGUUAUAGCCCCCCGUUGCAUGUGUCCCCUGGGACCGAGGAAUCCGGCGCAAGCCUGGAUGCUGGCGUAAU
Molecule: ribosomal RNA, 619 nt
Filed under: uncultured Basidiomycota
Lineage: Eukaryota; Fungi; Basidiomycota
Description: LSU rRNA
Rfam family: Eukaryotic large subunit ribosomal RNA
Source: RNAcentral